RNAcentral lists this ribosomal RNA (494 nucleotides) under uncultured bacterium. RNAcentral describes it as "partial 16S ribosomal RNA". It matches the Rfam family "Bacterial small subunit ribosomal RNA", at positions 28 to 507 of the family's 1533-position model. The record is from RNAcentral.
GACGAACGCUGGCGGCGCGCUUAACACAUGCAAGUCGAACGGAAAGGCCUGCUUUCCCUUGUGGAUUGCGGGUACUCGAGUGGCGAACGGGUGAGUAACACGUGAGUGAUCUGCCCCCAACUUGGGUAUAAGCCUGGGAAACUGGGUCUAAUCCCCGAUAGGACUGCAGGGUGGUGCCUGUGGUGGAAAACGAUUUUCUAGUGGUUGGGGAUGAGCUCGCGGCCUAUCAGCUUGUUGGUGGGGUAAUGGCCUACCAAGGCGGCGACGGGUAGCCGGCCUGAGAGGGUGGACGGCCAGAUUGGGACUGGGAGACGGCCCAGACGGCUACGGGAGGCAGCAGUGGGGAAUAGUGCACAAGGGGCGGAAGCCUGAUGCAGCGACGCCGCGUGGGGGAUGACGGCCUUCGGGUUGUAAACUCCUUUCGACCGCGAGGAAGCCACCUGGUUGGAAGGGUGGUGACGGUAGUGGUAGAAGAAGCACCGGCUAACUACGUG